AUUUAUAUAGUUUAAUAAAAACAUUACAUUUUCAUUGUAAAAUUAAAGUCAUCAUUUUUAUAAAUA
Molecule: transfer RNA, 66 nt
Filed under: Chalcolepidius sp. UPOL 001422
Lineage: Eukaryota; Metazoa; Arthropoda; Insecta; Coleoptera; Elateridae
Description: tRNA-Glu
Source: RNAcentral